GGCGGGAGACCAAAAUAAGAAAUAGUCGUAUAUACAUACUGACGAAAAGACAUCACAGGUGCCCCAGCCCCUGUCACCACGCGAACAACAAGAACUAGUGUACAUGAACAUGAACACUCGUACUUUUCGGUUUAGUCAAAUGCAAAGACUGGGGAUCGGGAUGUAUUUGCAUGAAGUGGUGUUCGAACUGGCCGAGCAGAGCUUUCGUAAACGUCAAGAAUUUGUCUGAUAAGUUGUUGACAUGAGUAGUAGGUGUUAUUUUGCUUGAACCGAAAUCAUUGUGAUUGGCAAGGCAAGGCGCAGAGCAUCCUGGAAUUAACUUUCACAGUCUUGUCAUUUGCCUUGGUAGCCGAGCUAGCUCUUGACUGCCAUCUAUCCUGUGAAAUGGAGAAGCAAAUAGAGAAAACAGAUGCCCUCAGGCAACCAGAACAAAGACGUCCUAUAUUUGUUUUGCUCAGGUGACUUGAACUCUCCAAACAAAGGGAUGUGGAUCCGCCAAAACAGCAGGUUUUGAAUAUCUCAUUCUAGUGGAGAUCUUGUUAUCUCUAUGAGGACUGUCAGCCUGUGAUGUUUAAGAGGAAAGGUAUGUUUGCUACAAAGGCUUUAUGUUGAGUUUUCCCUGAACUCAUUGAAACUAAAACAACCAUAUUAUGAAAAAAUCAUUGCAAUCAUUGUUGAGCAGACAUGGAGCUUGUGCUGCACUGGACAAAUGGAAUUUCUUGAAAAGGUACUUUUAUGAACUAGCGUGAUUGACAGCCUUUGUCUCAGAGAUUUAUUUCACCUUGUGCCUCGAUACUUCUUGGUGCGGUGUGUUGAUCAAUAAGACGAUUGGAUCUGUGUUACUUUCCUUACAUUUUGUGCC
Molecule: long non-coding RNA, 862 nt
Organism: Frankliniella occidentalis (western flower thrips)
Lineage: Eukaryota; Metazoa; Arthropoda; Insecta; Thysanoptera; Thripidae
Exons: 3
Source: RefSeq, a predicted model, not a curated record